CUCGGUUGGGUUCUGCGCUGGGUUCUGGCUGGCCUCCUCCUGCGUGGCCUCCUCCUGCCUGGCUUGCCUUUGAUCCUGCCCGUUUUCUGAACCCAGUUCUCCAGGCUUCCCCGAUAGUUUGAGUUCAGUGCACAGUCUCUGCUUGAAUCAGCCAGGUUCUGCAGGGUUGGUGACGGCAUUGGACCUUCCAGAUUUCCCAGUGAAACUCAACUCACGUGUUUGCUGUUGGUGCCGUCAUGUCUACGUUGACGCCGUUUCCUUAAUGGAACCAUGCCCUGGAAUCACCGUCGUUGGGCCAAAGUGCCCCACUGCAAACAAGGACAGGCUUGACCAGAGUGCCCAGGCGUGGAGGGGGCAGCCUGGGUCACCCACACUAGUGGUGUAG
RNAcentral lists this long non-coding RNA (385 nucleotides) under Equus asinus (donkey). Its description in RNAcentral is "lncRNA (ENSEASG00005038046.1)". The record is from RNAcentral. Lineage: Eukaryota; Metazoa; Chordata; Mammalia; Perissodactyla; Equidae.